RNAcentral lists this unclassified non-coding RNA (310 nucleotides) under plant metagenome. RNAcentral's name for it is "partial contains 5.8S ribosomal RNA, internal transcribed spacer 2, and large subunit ribosomal RNA". The stretch from base 1 to 105 matches the Rfam family "5.8S ribosomal RNA", at positions 50 to 154 of the family's 154-position model. The record is from RNAcentral.
GAAAUGCGAUAAGUAGUGUGAAUUGCAGAAUUCAGUGAAUCAUCGAAUCUUUGAACGCACAUUGCGCCCCUCGGUAUUCCGUGGGGCAUGCCUGUUCGAGCGUCAUCUACACCCUCAAGCUCUGCUUGGUGUUGGGCGUCUGUCCCGCCUCCUUCGCGCGCGGACUCGCCCCAAAUCCAUUGGCGGCGGCCCUUGCCUCCCUCUCGCGCAGCACAUUGCGCUUCUCGAGGCGCGGCGGACCGCGUCCAGAAAGCAACCGUCACACCGUCUUUGACCUCGGAUCAGGUAGGGAUACCCGCUGAACUUAAGC